This 1424-nucleotide long non-coding RNA is filed under the name Cricetulus griseus (Chinese hamster). RNAcentral's name for it is "lncRNA (ENSCGRG00015042157.1)". Lineage: Eukaryota; Metazoa; Chordata; Mammalia; Rodentia; Cricetidae. The record is from RNAcentral.
CAGCUUUCUUGUAGCUGAAUAGCUGUGCCUCUGAAGAAAGUCUCUUAACAAGAGGGGAUGUAUGAACUUAUCUCCUAUGAUCAGACUGGAGACUACUCCAAUUGUCAUCAGAGAGCCUUCAUCCAGUAACUGAGGGAAACAGAUGCAGAGACCCACGGCCAAACCUUAGGCUGAGCUCAGGACAGUAACUGGGGCAAAGGAACACACCUUCAGUGUGUACAUAAAUACUACCAGAUGACUGAAUGGAAAAACAAAACCAGAAUGGAUUAGGUACACCUACAAGCUUCUUCUUAAUGAACAAGAGCAUCUAUUGCUGCUGAUGGUGGUGAUGAUGGAGAUGAUGAUGAUGGGUGACCACGAUGAACUCUAGUUUCUUCCAUCUUACAACUUGAUCCAGUACCACUGUCUCUAGGUGCUUUGGCGGAGCAUAGCAUUCUUAGUUGACAUGACUACAAAGCUAUAGUAUGAGAGAAUCCCUGUGUCGAAGCAUGUUUGUCAGCCUGUGCCUCGGUUGGAAGCGGUGGAACCUAUAAAAAGAUGGUGAAAAUCCCUGCAGACACGAUGUCACAAAGGGCAAAGCUUCAAUCCAAAGUGACACCAUCUGUGCGGCAUGAACUCAGGAACAAGUUAAUAACGUUGUAGAUUCUGGGCCUGCAUUUAAUCUGCUUCAUCUGCUAAACAUUUGUGCUUGACAACAGUAUACACAGCAGAGUAUCAGCUGCUGAUCACAUGUCUUGCACAGAGCUGUGUCUCAUUGCUACAGCCCUUGGUCAUAAGAUACCCUAUCUUUAUCGCCAGCCUAGCAUAUCUAAAUUCUGCUUUCAUAUCCUGCCUUCUUGUGCCAGGUUUAGCAAAUAACUGAGAUAAUUUAAAUAUCAGGGCUUGUAACACCCAGAAAACAUGUUAAGACCCUCAAUACAAGACAAAUUACGACUAUCAUAGGAGGGAGUGUCAUCUCUGAGACUAGUCAACCAAGGACUGUCCUACUUGUCCUAAGAAUGGCUACCUUGAAUACCAACCUAGAGCCUUCAUCCAGUAGCUGAUGGAAGCAGAAGCAGAGAUCCACAGCUAAGUACUGAGCUGAAUUCCUGGAAUCCAGCUGUAGAGAGGGAGACGUGAUGAGCAAAGGGGUCAAGAACAGGCAGGAGAAACCCAGAGAAUACAGCUGACUUGACCAAGUGGGAUCACAUGGACUCCAGUUGUAAAACUGGGGAACUAGCAUUGGACUGAACCAGGCCUUCUGAAUGUGGGUGUCGGUUAGGAGGCCUGGGCUGUCUACGGAACCUCUAACAGUGGAACCAGUAUUUAUCCCUAGUGCACAAAUGGACUUUGGGAGCCCAAUCCCCAUGGAAGGGGUUACUUUCUCAGCCUAGGUCCUCCCCCAAAUGAUAUGACAGACUUUUAAUGAUCCCCCUUGAAUGCCU